AUUGAACGCUGGCGGCAGGCUUAACACAUGCAAGUCGAACGAGUGGCGCACGGGUGAGUAAUGCUUGGGAAUCUGGCUUAUGGAGGGGGAUAACGACGGGAAACUUUCGCUAAUACCGCGUACCAUAGGAUGAGCCCAAGCGGGAUUAGGGAGUUGGUGGGGUAAUGGCCUACCAAGCCGACGAUCUCUAGCUGGUCUGAGAGGAUGACGAGCCACAUGGGGACUGAGAAACGGCCAGGAUUCCUCAGGGAGGCAGCAGUGGGGAAUAUUGCGCAAGGGGGGAAACCGGACGCAGCAAUGCCGCGUGAAUGAAGAAGGCCUUCGGGUUGUAAAGUUCUUUCGUUGACGAGGCGGUAAUCACAGAAGAAGCACCGGCUAACUCCGUGCCAGCAGCCGCGGUAAUAC
RNAcentral lists this ribosomal RNA (405 nucleotides) under uncultured bacterium. RNAcentral describes it as "partial 16S ribosomal RNA". It matches the Rfam family "Bacterial small subunit ribosomal RNA", at positions 30 to 526 of the family's 1533-position model. The record is from RNAcentral.